This is an RNA transcript of Malaya genurostris, 2788 nucleotides long. RefSeq lists it as uncharacterized. The transcript has 9 exons. The record is from RefSeq and is a predicted model, not a curated record. Lineage: Eukaryota; Metazoa; Arthropoda; Insecta; Diptera; Culicidae.
UGAGACAACCCGAACAUGUGUUACGGCCAUGUGAAUCCCUCAAUUGUUUUUUCCUUAAAUAGUUUAAAUUUACUCAAACUGUAAAUUUCAAAAGUUAAACAGUCAUCUGUUGAAUAUCAAAUUGGUCACUUGAAUGUUUCAUUUUUUUUAAGAAAAAAAAACUUGGUGAUAAGUUAAUGACCUAUAAGCUUAUGUCCAUGGUUUUGUCAAUACUGCGUGGGAAAAUGAUGUGGCGUAUGUUCGAACCGCGUUCAACUGGUGAAUGCAAAAUUGAAAUCGUUCGGAAUGAACAGCAGCUAGUAGUUGUAAUCUUGUUCUAAGUGGAACUCCGAAUUGGUUAGUUUUUCAGCAAUUAAAACUAGCAUGGCACUCGAUAAGUGACCAACAAAUACAUCGAAUCGAUGAUGUAUCCAGCUCAUGGAUUUUUCGAAGGCAGAUCCCCCACCGAUUUCUUCGGUGACCUGUACUACUAUCCGGAAGAGGAAAACCGGUCGCCGAGAUUCAAUUUCAUUUUUCCAAUCACGGAUCCGGAUACUUUGGAAGAUCUCGAAUAUGCUGUGCGGCAUGACCAGAAGACACGGAUCAAAUACAUCAAUUUUCUACGUCGCAUCAAGUCGCGAGAUGAACAGCUGUCCGGUGGAAAUGUUUUCAAACGGCUCUGCAGCGAUACUGCCAUAUUUGCUCAUUUCUGUUUCAGCACGCCCAAAUUCACGGGCGACGGAAGAAGGAGACGGGCGCUGAAGGAUUUCGUGAUAUUUGGCGUUUGUAUGCUACAAGCCUGGUCCGACCACAAGGACAUCGACCAGCGAAGUCUCAGCUCGAUUAUGAAACGAGUGUUCAAACGAAUCAGCGUUCGAAACUAUGUUCGCCUUGGACGGAACCAGAAAACGGAUGUCUAUCGAAUGGCGCCAUCAUGAUUCAUCAGAAAGCAGCAAAGCUCAUAUUAACAGUUUUGCAGAAUUUUAGUAAAACAAAGAGAAAUAAUAAAAACUAAUAAACUGAGAUACUUUUCCUCUCGAAUGCGUGUUUUCGAUUGUGUUGACAUUAUCGUAGAAAGUUUUUUUUAAUAAUCUUUUCUUAUGAACAUUGUAGGUCGGCAUGCACGGAAGACUUAUAAAAAUUUGAAGAAAGCACCAAAUCUCCAAAUUCAACUGGUCCCGGUGUUCAACGCUCGCUGUAAGAAUUGGAUUCCCUUGAAAACCAGCACCCAGCUGUCCAUCUUGAGCAAAAGCCGAAGCGUCGGUGUGGAUAGAUUCGUAUUUCCGCUGCAAAACCCGGAAGAAAUAGAGGCUCUGGAAAUGGCCGUUCGAGAGAAUCCGCGCACGUGGAAUCAGUAUGUUGCUUACCUGCGUGACAAAAAAACCGCCGCAAUGGACAUCCCGAGUGUGAUGAAAUUGCUCUUCUUGGAUGAAGCUCUGGAAGGGUACAAUUUCAACGGUCUGCAAGGUCCCUUUCGGCAGAAGCGACCCCUGAAAAUGUAUGCCAUCUUCGUCGACUGUAUGUGGGAAGCCUGGCGAGAGCAAUUGGACGAUCGGGCACAAUUACAUAAAGGCAUUAAUGCUGCCAUUGCCACAUCGAAAAGUCGUGUUCGGGUCAAACGCUGCCGUGAAAAUCAACGACGGCGGGCAUGUUUGCUAGAAGAUCAGAGGAAGAAUUUUUGAUCCAUCUUGUUAUAAUGUUCGAGGUUUUCCUUUCCGGUUGAUCGAUACAAAAAUCUGAUGAUGAAUUGGUUAUUGAAAUAUAACUCUCCGGAGUUCCUACCACGUAAUCGAGUACAACAUCUGACAAAUCCAAUAAAAUGUUUUAUAGAAAACAUAGAAAACCAUUUCAUGUUUCGCUCCCAUGCACAUUUCGUUCUGUAAAAAACCUAUUCCACUAACCAUGUCUUUUUUGGUUUCAGUUUUCAAACGGAUACAGUUGUUCAAACAAAGCGCCCAACAGGGUGUAGACAAUUUUAUGUUUCCUAUACCAGACUGUGAUACCAUCGAGCGGUUAGAGGCCUCCGUCAGGAUGUUUCCCAUCAUCAGAAAGCAAUACAUCGAGCACCUUAGGCGAGUUAAAGAUCAAACCAAGGACGUGGCCAAAACAUUUCCGGUGCUAUUUUCCGACGCCGCCCUCGAGAUGUACAACUACAAUGGGACAGGUCGGAAGGAACGCCGACCGAUGAAGGAUUACCAGAUCUUCCAUGAUUGCAUGCUAGAUGUUUUUUCUUCUUUUUUCCUUCCAUCCCGCUUCUCAGAAGCAUGGACUGACGACGGUGUCAACGAAGCGGUCCUGCAGGAAAACAUCAACAUCGUCGUGAAGCGAGCCGAUGGCCGAAAACGGGCGAAACUGUUCAACUUUCGUCGGCGAAUAUUUCAGAACGUUGGCACAAUUUUCUCCAACUUUCCCGAUAUACAGUCCUAGGGUGCAACCAGGUUGCAAUAAACUGACUCAUUCCCCCAGUGGAUUCCUAGUUUUUAAACGAAGCAAUAUAUUUAACAUUUUAGUGUAUUUUUAUUUCGAUAGCACACUCGAAGUAAUCAGUAUAUUUAUUUAUUUUAACGUAACACUAUAGAAAACUGUGUUUUACUUGUUGUGAAUAGAUCGAAAAUCUGUUUUAGGGGAGGGAGAAACUAACUCCAGCACACUCCCAAUCCAGUACCACAACUCUAACAUUUUUCUUUCAUUUUAGCUACCAUCCGUGUCAUCAGUGAGGAUAAACUGUUGGAUAGGCAAAACGACACCACGGGGGGGUCGGACAAUGCACUGCGUCCUCGGCAGCAGCAAGGCCCGGUAAACAUAGCCG